UACGUAGGGACCGAGCGUUGUCCGGAUUCAUUGGGCGUAAAGAGCUCGUAGGCGGUGUGUCGCGUCGGCCGUGAAAACCUGGGGCUUAACUCUGGGCGUGCGGUCGAUACGGGCAUCACUAGAGUUCGGCAGGGGAGACUGGAAUUCCUGGUGUAGCGGUGAAAUGCGCAGAUAUCAGGAGGAACACCAAUGGCGAAGGCAGCUCGCUGGGACGGUACUGACGCUGAGGCGCGAAAGCGUGGGGAGCAAACAGG
Molecule: ribosomal RNA, 254 nt
Filed under: uncultured bacterium
Lineage: Bacteria
Description: partial 16S ribosomal RNA
Rfam family: Bacterial small subunit ribosomal RNA
Source: RNAcentral